Molecule: long non-coding RNA, 467 nt
Filed under: Helianthus annuus (common sunflower)
Lineage: Eukaryota; Viridiplantae; Streptophyta; Magnoliopsida; Asterales; Asteraceae
Description: sRNA HanXRQr2_Chr06g0260181
Source: RNAcentral
UUUGAUGCUUGUUAAUCUCUUAUGCUAUGCAAGUUGAACGUGUUAAUCGCAAUGCCCUUGAGUCUUGGGGUAUUGCGAUGUUGAACGAUAUGUGAACGAUAUGUGAACGAUGUUGAACGAUGUUGAACGAUAUAUUGAACGAUGUUGAACGAUAUUGAAUGGCAAAGUAGUAACUUGUAUCAUUGUAUUCAUGUUGGAUAUGAGCACAUUUAAACACUUUAUUCUACUAUACUAUGUAUCAAACUUGUAUACUCGCCAACAUAUUUUUGUUGAUUUUAUUUUAAUACAUGUUGCAGGUUGUUAGACGAAGUUAUCAAGAAAACAAGCUAGGAUGGCUUUAGAAACCCAUUUCAGCAAUUAAACAAUGCUUGAAUUUAUGUUUACUAUUUGAAACGAUGUAUCACUCUUUAGUUUUAAUAAAAUGGUUUAAUCUAUAUUGUCACAAUUAGUGUUAUGUUGUUUUGAGC